AGAAGAUGGUAAGGGCAAACGGUGGAUGCCUUGGCACAAGAAGCCGAUGAAGGACGUGAUAAGCUGCGAUAAGCCACGGUAAGGAGCACAUAUCCUGUGACCCGUGGAUUUCCGAAUGGGUAAACCCACCAAGAGUCAUUUCUUGGUACUUCCUGCUGAAUAUAUAGGCAGGAUAGAGGUAACCGGGGGAACUGAAACAUCUAAGUACCCCGAGGAAGAGAAAUCAAACGAGAUUCCCCUAGUAGUGGCGAGCGAACGGGGAUAUAGGACAAACCGUCAGUUGCGCAAGCGCUGGCGGGGUUGUAGGACCAUUCAUUGUGGAGUUACAAAACUUCGUGGAAGCAGAAUAGCUUGGAAAAGCUGGCGAGACAGGGUAAAAGCCCCGUACGCGAAUCUGCGAAGACUCCCGAGUGGCACCUGAGUACUGCCGGACACGUGAAACCCGGUGGGAACCUGGGGGGUCCACCCUCCAAUCCUAAAUACUCUCUUGUGACCGAUAGUGAACCAGUACCGUGAGGGAAAGGUGAAAAGCACCCCUAGCGGGGAGUGAAAUAGUACCUGAAACCGUUUGCCUACAAGCAGUCGGAGCAGACUUUUGUCUGUGACGGCGUGCCUUUUGUAGAAUGAGCCAGCGAGUUACGGCAUGUGGCAAGGUUAAGCUAAAAAGCGAGCCGCAGCGAAAGCGAGUCUGAAUAGGGCGAGUGAGUCGCAUACCGUAGACGCGAAGCCAGGUGAGCUAUCCAUGAGCAGGCUGAAGCGGGGGUAAGACCCCGUGGAGGGCCGAACCCACUUAGGUUGAAAACUGAGGGGAUGACUUGUGGAUAGGAGUGAAAGGCCUAUCAAACCUGGAGAUAUCUCGUUCUCUCCGAAAUAGCUUUAGGGCUAGCCUCGGAUGUUUACCAAUGGGGGUAGAGCACUGAAUAGUUGCGGGGGCUUCACCGCCUACCAAGAUUAAUCAAACUCCGAAUACCAUUGGUCUAGAAUCCGGGAGUCAGAAUAUGUGGGCUAAGCUGUGUAUUCGAAAGGGAAACAGCCCAGACCGCCCGCUAAGGUCCCAAAAUCAAUGCUAAGUGGCAAAGGAUGUGCGUUUGCUCAGACAACCAGGAUGUUGGCUUAGAAGCAGCCAUUCAUUUAAAGAGUGCGUAAUAGCUCACUGGUCGAGUGGACAUGCGCCGACAAUAUACGGGGCUAAGCAUUGUACCGAAGCGGCGGAUCAGUACUUUGUACUGGUGGUAGGAGAGCUUUCUGUACGGGUUGAAGCAGUUGGAUAACCAACUGUGGACUGUCCAGAAGUGAGAAUGCUGGCAUGAGUAACGAGAGACAUGUAAAAAACAUGUCCGCCGUAAACCCAAGGUUUCCUGGGCAAGGCUAAUCCUCCCAGGGUUAGGCGGGAGCUAAGGCAAGGCCGGAAGGCGUAGUCGAUGCACAACAGGUAGAAAUUCCUGUCCCUCCAAAAGAGCGUUAUCACCAAUGGGGUGACGGAGCAGGGUAGCUAGGCGGGGUUCUGGACGUCCCCGUGAUGGCACGUAGGCUGAGAAGUAGUGAAAUGCGCUUCUCGUGUGGCUGAGGUGUCGGACGAAGCAAUUGAGUGAAGCUAGUAAGCCCAUACUUCCAAGAAAAACCUCUAGGGAGCUCUGAGGAGCCCGUACCGCAAACCGACACAGGUGGGUGGGUAGAGCAUACCAAGGCGAUCGGGAGAACUAUGGUUAAGGAACUCGGCAAAAUUGCCCCGUAACUUCGGGAGAAGGGGUGCCGGUUUCGGUGAAGGGAUUUACUCCCCGAGCUAAGAUCGGUCACAGUAAAUAGGUCCAAGCGACUGUUUAUCAAAAACACAGGACUCUGCUGAAGUCGUAAGACGACGUAUAGGGUCUGACGCCUGCCCGGUGCCGGAAGGUCACGAGGAGUUGUUAGCAUUAGCGAAGCAGCGAAUCUAAGCCCCGGUAAACGGCGGCCGUAACUAUAACGGUCCUAAGGUAGCGAAAUUCCUUGUCGGGU
Molecule: ribosomal RNA, 1995 nt
Filed under: human metagenome
Description: bacterial LSU rRNA
Rfam family: Bacterial large subunit ribosomal RNA
Source: RNAcentral